RNAcentral lists this transfer RNA (72 nucleotides) under Aquilonastra yairi. RNAcentral describes it as "tRNA-Pro". Lineage: Eukaryota; Metazoa; Echinodermata; Asteroidea; Valvatida; Asterinidae. The record is from RNAcentral.
UCAGAAAAGUAGGACUACACUACCCACACCAACAACUCCCAAAGCUAUUAUUCUUUUCUAAACUAUUUUCUG